Molecule: unclassified non-coding RNA, 1709 nt
Filed under: Zea mays
Lineage: Eukaryota; Viridiplantae; Streptophyta; Magnoliopsida; Poales; Poaceae
Description: misc RNA Zm00001eb036190
Source: RNAcentral
CUCCCACCCCUCAAAAAAUUUCCAGCCGCCACAGCUUUUCCCUGCCUUUCUUCUUCACGGCAGCAACAACCAUCAGGGAGCCGUGCUCCUCCCAUGGCGCCUCCUCUCCUUCCCUUCCUCGAGCAAGCCAGCAGCAGGCGCCUCUCCCCUUCAGGCAUGGCAGCGGCUUCUUCUCCUCCCCUCUAUUCUCCUGGGCGUGUGCAGUAGCUCCAUGGCUGCCGAGCUCUUAUCCAUGGCGCGGCUCCCCUGUUCCCCUGCGUCUCCCUCCUCUCCGGCUUCCCUCGCGCAGCGGCAGCAAGCAUGGAGCUUGGCUCCUCUCCCCUGCGCCCUACCUUUUUCCAUAGAAAGCAGCAGGAGCUCCACCUCCCAUGGCGCCCUUUUUUUUCAGCCGUGCAGCUCCCUACUCCAUGCCGAUGCCCCUUCUCUUCCCCUGCUCGUUCUCCCUCGCGCAACAGCAGCCGGGUCUUCUUCCUCCCCUGCUGUCCACGGCGCGCAGCAAACAGGGAGCUCAGCUCCAUCUCCCCUCACGGCAGGACACAGCAGCAGCUCGCCCCGCCUCUCCUCGCAGACGCAGCCCUCUCCCAUGGCGCGCUGCAGCAGAUGCCGUGGAGCAUUCCCUCCAUGCAUUGCGACUCGGUUUCCUUCCUGCGUGUGUGCUGCUGCGCCUGCGCCAUUGAUGCUUGCUGGGUGCUCGACAAAAUGUGCAGCAGCCCCGACGGCUCCGCGCGCUGUCGGCUUGCUGUUUUAUUGCGCAGUGAGCAGCACGCCGUGAUGCCCGUCGGUGGUUUGCUGUUUUUGCGCAGCCCCGCCGCCGUCGUCGUUCGCCCCGGAGAGGAACCCCGUGUUUGGCGUGGAGAAGAAGGCAAGCCGCUCGUCGAUGUUUGUAGCGAUGCACAAAUCGGAAUCACCGUCAUUCUUGCAAACGUCGAUUGGGUUUGUUUAUGGACCGAGAGAUGAUGAUCGAGCCAGUGAUGUGGUGCCAACCACAAGACGCAGUUGGUAGACGACCCGAAGGAUGGACAUAACCAGUGGAUGCUCGCCAAGCGAGUACCUCCCCCCCAACAAACACUACUUAAGUGUUAAAUUAAAGACGAGCAAGCCACUGUGGAAACUGAGGUUCAACAAGUAGAGAUAGCUGAGCAGGAGCUCAUUGAAGGAGAAGAACAGGUGGUCGAAGAGGAGCCGCCUAACACUGAGGAGUUCGAUCUGAUCUAGGUGGCGUUUCUCAGUCGACAUUGGCGCCGACGAUCCUUAGUUCGUUUUAUGUUUACACUUUUAUUUUGUAAUAAGUCUUCCGCUAUGUAAUAAAUACUCUGAUGUUUUAUGACAUUUAUCUCUAUACACUCUGUUAUUAUAUAUGUCGUCUUCUUUGGCGCAUGUAUGAGAUGCACCCGGCUUUGUUCCUUAAAACCGGGUGUUACAGCUUUGGAUCUACGCGGCCGAGACCUAGCCGCGUUCGUUCGUGAAGUGGAGGACGGGGCUGUGAGGAUUGUAGGGCGGUAUGCGCCGAGGACGGAGAGUCUGCGGAGUUGGGAUAUUCGGGGAUCCAAUGUUCACUUGAAUCGGGUCUUUGAGUUAAACCGUUUGCCAUACGGUGGUUACCCUGGAGAUGACGCUGCUGCGGCUAUUGACCGCCGCGGGAAAAAAACUAGUGGCUGAGGAAGGCCCUUCGCGGGAGGCUGCCCCGACCACUAAGAAGAGAAAAAUAG